AUGGCUCAGCCGUCGCUGCUCCUCGGCUCUCCGGCAUCGAUCGUCCUCCUCCUUCUCUCCUUCUUCCAAGGGCCGGUAGUGAGCGCCAUCACGUUCACCUUCGCCAACCGGUGCACGGACACGGUGUGGCCCGGGCUGCUCUCGGGCUCCACCUCGCCGCCGCUGGAAACCACCGGCUUCGCGCUCUCGCCGGGCCAGUCGCGCUCAAUCUACGGGCCCACCGGGUGGUCGGGCCGCUUCUGGGCGCGCUCUGGCUGUAAUUUCAACGGCGGCAAGGGCACCUGCGUCACGGGGGACUGCGGCUCCGGCGAGAUAGAGUGCCGCGGCGCCGGGGCCACCCCGCCCGCCACGCUCGCGGAGUUCACCCUCGACGGCGACGGCGGGAAGGACUUCUACGACGUCAGCCUCGUCGACGGCUACAACCUGCCCAUGCUGGUGCAGCCGUCCGCGCCUGGGUGCCCCGACACCGGGUGCCUCGUCGACCUCAACGAGCGCUGCCCCUCGGAGCUCCGCUCCGGCGGCGGCCUCGCCUGCCGCAGCGCCUGCGAGGCCUUCGGCAAGCCCGAGUUCUGCUGCAACGGCGCCUACGGGAACCCUGACACGUGCCACCCCUCCCAGUACUCGCAGCUCUUCAAGUCGGCGUGCCCCAAGUCCUACAGCUACGCCUACGACGACGCCACCUCCACCUUCACCUGCAACCACACCGAUUACACCAUUACCUUCUGCCCGCAGUCCAAUCCUUACAGUGGCAAAACGAACAAGCACGCAUUGCGGAGGCCGAGCCAUGAGCAGCUUGAAGACGACGUGUGGCUGGCAUCUUUGAAGAAAACCAGCGGCGCCCGUGGAAGCACCAUGGCAUCGUGGUCGGCGUCCGGAGGUUUUCAAGCCGCCCUGGCAAUUGCUGUGGUGGUUGUGCUUGCCGCGGCACAGGGGGGUCAUCCCCGUUUCAGAUGA
RNAcentral lists this ribosomal RNA (954 nucleotides) under Triticum aestivum (bread wheat). RNAcentral's name for it is "partial small subunit ribosomal RNA". Lineage: Eukaryota; Viridiplantae; Streptophyta; Magnoliopsida; Poales; Poaceae. The record is from RNAcentral.